This 450-nucleotide ribosomal RNA is filed under the name uncultured bacterium. RNAcentral's name for it is "SSU rRNA". It matches the Rfam family "Bacterial small subunit ribosomal RNA", at positions 26 to 518 of the family's 1533-position model. The record is from RNAcentral.
AGAACGAACGCUGGCGGCAUGCCUAACACAUGCAAGUCGAACGAGACCUUCGGGUCUAGUGGCGCACGGGUGCGUAACGCGUGGGAAUCUGCCCUUGGGUACGGAAUAACAGUGGGAAACUACUGCUAAUACCGUAUAAUGACUUCGGUCCAAAGAUUUAUCGCCCAGGGAUGAGCCCGCGUAGGAUUAGCUUGUUGGUGAGGUAAAAGCUCACCAAGGCGACGAUCCUUAGCUGGUCUGAGAGGAUGAUCAGCCACACUGGGACUGAGACACGGCCCAGACUCCUACGGGAGGCAGCAGUGGGGAUAUUGGACAAUGGGCGAAAGCCUGAUCCAGCAAUGCCGCGUGAGUGAUGAAGGCCUUAGGGUUGUAAACCCCUUUCGGCAGGGAAGAAGCGCAAGUGACGGUACCUGCAGAAGAAGUCCCGGCUAACUACGUGCCAGCAGCCGC